RNAcentral lists this ribosomal RNA (467 nucleotides) under Gymnophthalmus leucomystax. RNAcentral describes it as "partial 12S ribosomal RNA". It matches the Rfam family "Bacterial small subunit ribosomal RNA", at positions 875 to 1526 of the family's 1533-position model. The record is from RNAcentral. Lineage: Eukaryota; Metazoa; Chordata; Lepidosauria; Squamata; Gymnophthalmidae.
GAAAAUUACGGGCGAAAGCCUAAAACUCAAAAGACUUGACGGUGUCCUAAUCUACCUAGAGGGAGCCUGUUCCAUAAUCGAUAAUCCCCGAUAAACCCAACCACCUUUUGAAACCCCAGGCCUAUAUACCGCCGUCGACAGCCCACCUUCCAAAAGAAUUAAAGUAGGCCAAACAGGAUUUACUCUAAAAAGUCAGGUCAAGGUGUAGCUAAUAAGGUGGAGAUAAUGGGCGUACAUUUUUUAAAUUAAAACACCACACGAACCAGUACUUUGAAACAAGACUAUAAAGGGUGGAUUUAGCAGUAAGCUAAAAAAGAGUGCUUAGCUUAACAUAGCCCUAGGACACGGUACACACCGCCCGUCACCCUCCUCAACAACACAAAACACCUAAAUAAAAGCACAUAGCCAUAACUAGAUGAGGCAAGUCGUAACAAGGUAAGCGUACUGGAAAGUGGCGCUUAGACAAC